Molecule: long non-coding RNA, 281 nt
Filed under: Mytilus galloprovincialis (Mediterranean mussel)
Lineage: Eukaryota; Metazoa; Mollusca; Bivalvia; Mytilida; Mytilidae
Source: RNAcentral
UAAAUACUAUUAUUAUACCUUACAUAUAUUUCAAACAAUUCUAUUGGGUGAAACCUUAUCACGUGACAUGGAAUAAUUCAGUUAAUUUUCAUUCAAUUGCAAGGAAGGACGAAUAACCCUAAAAAUUUACACCAGCGGUGAAUAACCCUAUUAUUCACCGGUGAAUAACCUUUUGAGUUUGUUGAUUUGUACUUGAGUUACCUCCCAUGAAAAUGACGUCACAGACGUAAAUAAACAAAAUGGCAGCGUUCGCUUUACACUGGAAGCCCAUCGAGAGACGA